Molecule: long non-coding RNA, 173 nt
Organism: Solanum tuberosum (potato)
Lineage: Eukaryota; Viridiplantae; Streptophyta; Magnoliopsida; Solanales; Solanaceae
Exons: 2
Source: RefSeq, a predicted model, not a curated record
AGGACGUUCGGAAAGGGAAAGCUCCGGAGAAGUUAUUUUGGAGCUCGUGUGAUUGGCCUACAGGUCCGGGCACUAGUAGCCAGCGUUGAUCGAGCUUGGAGCAGUCUGAUCCGGAGACGGGGGUGAGCGCACGGCGUUUUGUACUAUUUCAGUCUCCAUCUGUAUAUAUAGAC